UCUCCGUUGGUGAACCAGCGGAGGGAUCAUUACAGAGUUGCAAAACUCCCAAACCAUUGUGAACGUUACCUAUCCCGUUGCUUCGGCGGGCGGCCCGGGCCCCGCGCCCGCCGCUCCCCGGCCCCCGUGGGCGCCCGCCGGAGGUAAACCAAACCCUUGAAUUGCAUGGCCUCUCUGAGUCUUUUUUUCUGAAUAUGUCUAAACUUUCAACAACGGAUCUCUUAGGUCUGGCCUCGUGAAAGAACGCCGCAGACCGUAAGAGCACACGCCUUAACUCCC
This 279-nucleotide unclassified non-coding RNA is filed under the name plant metagenome. RNAcentral's name for it is "partial contains small subunit ribosomal RNA, internal transcribed spacer 1, and 5.8S ribosomal RNA". The record is from RNAcentral.